UGCAAAGCAUCUUAUUGUGAGAAUUGGA
Molecule: non-coding RNA, 28 nt
Filed under: Rattus norvegicus (Norway rat)
Lineage: Eukaryota; Metazoa; Chordata; Mammalia; Rodentia; Muridae
Source: RNAcentral